UACCAGCACCCCGAGUGGUCGGGACGUUUAUUGGGCCUAAAGCAUCCGUAGCCGGUUCUACAAGUCUUCCGUUAAAUCCAGCUGCUUAACAGAUGGGCUGCGGAAGAUACUAUGGAGCUAGGAGGCGGGAGAGGCAAGCGGUACUCGAUGGGUAGGGUAAAAUCCGUUGAUCCAUUGAAGACCACCAGUGGCGAAGGCGGCUUGCCAGAACGCGCUCGACGGUGAGGGAUGAAAGCUGGGGAGCAAACCGG
Molecule: ribosomal RNA, 251 nt
Filed under: uncultured bacterium
Lineage: Bacteria
Description: partial 16S ribosomal RNA
Rfam family: Archaeal small subunit ribosomal RNA
Source: RNAcentral